AUGCAUGGUAUAAUAGAGUUGAUGUAUCAAGGAUGCAUCGUGACCAUCGCCGAUGUGAGGAUGGUUGGCUUUUCGACAUCCACCACUUGUGCUCUCCUCCUCCUGCUCAUCUUCUUCUUCUACCUUCCUACUGUUGCCAUCUCCUUGUCCUUCAACUACUCCACAUUCAGCUCAGCGGACCAGAACGCCAUCAAAAUCGAAGGCGACGCAUCCUUCAGCGUCGGAUGGGUCGACAUCAGCGCCAACAGGUACGGCAGCAUCGACUACAGCAAUGGCCGGGCAUCGUACAAUGCCCAGCCGAUGCUGCUAUGGGACAGGGCGACCGGCGAGGUUGCCAGCUUCACCACGCGCUUCUCGUUCGUCAUCUCCGGCAACAUCAGCAGCAAGGGGCAAGGCAUGGCCUUCUUUCUCGCCGGCUACCCGUCCAGCCUGCCAGCCCGCUGCCCUGACUACAACCUCGCCCUCACCAACCAGAGCGCGGAUGCCGUGGCGGCCGGCGACAGCCGGUUCGUGGCGGUGGAGUUCGACACCUUCAACAAUACGGUGGUGUCUGACCCCCACGAUACCUUCGACCACAUCGGCAUCGACAUCAGCUCCCUCCGGUCGGUGCGCACACUGACUAUGCCAAGCUUCGAGCUGACGGGCAACCUGACUGCCGACAUCAACUACGACAAUGUUUCCAGCAUCUUGUCAGUGACGGUGUGGCUUGGUGAUGAUGAUGAAGGCAAGCCAAGAAACCGGAGUUACAACCUUCGCUCCAAGGUUGACCUCAAAAGCGCACUGCCGGAGCAGGUCUCGGUUGGCUUCUCCGCAUCCACAUCCAACGCCAUCGAACUGCAUCAGCUACACUCUUGGUCCUUCAGAUCUUCGUUGGAACCGCCGCCGCCGCCGCCAGCAGCAGCAAUAUCUUCCCCGUCAAGGCUGGGUCCGGGAGUUAUAGCCGGGGCAGUUGCUGGUGCAUCAGUGUCCCUCGUGCUCAUCUUUGCCGCUACAGUGGCACUCGUUGUGCGUCGCCACCAUCAACAAAAAAUGGUGGAGACGGAUGAGUACCACACAGACUCGGAAGGCGAAGGUGACCCGAUGAUGGAGAUCGACAUGGUGAAAGGGCCAAGGCGGUUCCCAUACCACGAGCUCGUGGAAGCGACGAGGAACUUUGCCGCGGAGGAGAAGCUUGGGCAAGGUGGCUUUGGUGCGGUUUACCGAGGCUACCUGAGAGAGCCAGCUGGGCUUCCCGUGGCCAUUAAGAGGUUCUCCAAGCAUGAUUCUUCCCUGCAAGGAAAGAGGGAGUACAAGUCAGAGAUCAAGGUGAUAAGCAGGCUGCGCCACCGGAACCUCGUGCAGCUCCUCGGCUGGAGCCAUGGCCGCGAGGAACUCCUGCUGGUUUACGAGCUCAUGCCCAACCGCAGCCUCGACAUCCAUCUCCAUGGCAAGCAGGGCACCUUCCUCACAUGGCCGAUGAGGAUGAAGAUAGUGAUGGAGCUCGGGUCCGCGCUGCUCUACCUCCACGAGGAGUGGGAGCAGUGCGUGCUGCACCGGGACAUCAAGCCCAGCAACAUGAUGCUAGACGAGUCAUUUGGAGCUAAGCUGGGCGACUUCGGGCUCGCAAGGCUUGUCGACCAUGCCGCCGGGACGCAGACUAUGACCGCAGUCUCAGGGACUCCGGGCUACUUGGACCCCCAGUGUGUCGUCACCGGCAGGGCCAGCGCCGAGUCAGACGUGUACAGCUUCGGCGUGGUUCUGCUGGAGGUGGUGUGCGGCAGGAAGCCGAUGAGCUUCACUGUGACCGAUCAGGACCAGCAACAAAAGAACGGUGGCGUGUUCCGGUUGGUUGAGUGGGUUUGGGGGCUGUACGGCCGGGGAGCCAUUCUUGAGUCUGCCGACAAGCUGCUGAAUGGUGAGUUAGACGUAGCAGAGGUGGAGAGGGUGCUGGUCGUCGGGCUGUGGUGUGCACACCCGGACCCGAGCGCGCGGCCGACCAUCAGAGAAGCCAUGGCCAAGCUCCACUCCAAGGUCGACAAGCUGCCGGUGCUCCCCUCCAAGAUGCCGGUGCCGACAUAUGCUCAGCCACCGUUCGCCUUGGACAUGGACGACGGGCUGUCAACGUUGCUGCCAUCGUCCACCAGCACCAGCGUCCCACCGCACACCAUUUGUACGACAACCAGUUCUUCGGACGGACGUGGUAGCACCUCGACGACCAGUUAA
RNAcentral lists this ribosomal RNA (2202 nucleotides) under Triticum aestivum (bread wheat). Its description in RNAcentral is "partial small subunit ribosomal RNA". The record is from RNAcentral. Lineage: Eukaryota; Viridiplantae; Streptophyta; Magnoliopsida; Poales; Poaceae.